Long non-coding RNA from Solanum lycopersicum (tomato), 1482 nucleotides. RefSeq lists it as uncharacterized. The record is from RefSeq and is a predicted model, not a curated record. NCBI's taxonomy places the organism in Eukaryota, Viridiplantae, Streptophyta, Magnoliopsida, Solanales, Solanaceae.
UUAUAUUAAUUCAUCUUAUUACUUAGUAUCCAAAACUCUUUCAACACUUCACAAGAAGUUAAUUUUGGGCCUUUUCUUUCCAGCAGUAUCCAGGCCAAUUCAUUACUUCGUGCACCAUUUUCCCUUCCUUACCAAUUCAACCCGUCCAAGCCCAAUUAGUUUGACCCGACCCGACUUUAGCCCCCUUUCCCUUUCAACAAAAGACGUAGAACAUAUAGUAACCAGACAAAAACAACAAUUCCCAGCGGCGCGCGUCGAAUCAAUGAACCAGCGCGCACAAUAGUACAUCAUCUCCUUUUGUCUUCUUCCUCCCAUCACUUUCACGCGUCUUCACGAGACGACAUUGAAGAACGAUGAUUCUUAACGGCGUCACCUCCAACGUUCUCCUACACGACGUGAACACGGAAUAUAUGAAGAGUAGAAGACAACUUGUCCCUUUAUCAUUUCCUUCUCCGUCCCUUUCCAUGUAGUACGACUUUCAGCAGCUCCCAGAGCACGCUAAUCGUCCUUGGUGGUGUGAGAUUGUUCCACGUCAACACCAAGGACGAUGGAGAUAAUCAAAGCCAUCGAUGCAACAUUUCCUCUUUCAAAAUGGGGUAGAAUUUCAGGGAAAAAGCAAGUCUCCCUAUUUGGUGAAAAAGUUUUGAAUUUUGAAAUUUUAGGGAUGUGAAUUCUCGUGCUUACCCCUGCCCUGUCCCGUUCUCCCCCUCUAUAUAAGUUGUUUCUCUUUUGUUUAGAGGGGAGAGAGAGGUUUUUUUCUUAAAGUAAUAUCUUGAGUCAAAAAUACAUAUUGGAGAAUUACUGAAAAUAUAGAAAGAAAAUAGACACAAGAUACAGAGCAUAUGUUGAAAAAACAUACUCAAAUUUUAAUUCCAAUAGAACAAAAAAUCAUGUGAGAAUCUUGGUUACCAUCUUGAAAACUAAUCUUCCACUCAUGUUCAAGUUUCAUGGUCGUGGAAUCGCUUUUGACUCGCUGCUGUUCUUGUUCGCUGCCCUAGAAAGACAAGGCAUCAGAUCCAUGCAUACCAUUUUUAGCAAGAAUGGGAUUGAAGGGGGCAAGAAUAUCAGCAAAGGGAGCAAGAAUUUCAGAAAAAAGAGCAAUUAUUUCAGCAAAAGGAGCAAGAGUACCAGUUCUAAGAGUUAGAAAGUCAGAGGGUUUUAGCUGUGACGUCACAAGAGUUAGCCGAUGCAAGGACUUGUAUGAUGUAUUUGGAUGCAAUCGUGAACGAGCAUAUGAACACUUUGCAAGUCGUAAUACCAGCUUCCAAAGCUGUGUUCGCUGAGCCGUACGUGUUCACAAGCAAGUGCAUCAUCCACGAUGAAGUAGAGAAGGCCAGAAGAGGAGCCAAGCCAUCAUUCACAUCAUAUCCCCCUCCCUGAAAUGUACCCCGUUUGAUUGAAAUUAUGUAAUAAAUGCUAUGAUUUUAGUGAUGUCUAUUUUGGGGAUACAUCUAUUUGUUAAAUGACACAAUACGUCCUUCA